GUCUAUCAUUGAGCAACAGGCAUGAGCAAUGUUAUCUAUGGUUCUUCAGAGCACGGAAAAAGGCUGUGGCCUCCCUGGGAAAGAGGUUCUCUCAUGGAGAAAAACAAAAUCAUCUUGGAUCUCCUCAGGCAACUAAAUGGUGUCUAUCCAGCAAACACAUCCACACAGGCCAGUGUUGAGAUGGCUAUAUCAUACAGGCAAGUCAAUCAGUCCUGUGAUGGUUCCAAGGCAGCCAAAGUAUGUAGGAACGAGGUGGCCAUCCUUCAUCUUGUGGGUAGAACAAGUUCUCCUGGUAGAGAGCCCAAGGGCUUGGCUGAGGAGAGAAGAGCUGGAAGGAUCUUGAGAAGCAUUGGCUAUGUCUGCUUUCCCGCUUGUUUUGAGGGAUCUGAACAGUAUCUGCCAAGACUUACCAGAUCUGAACCCUCAAGCAAUGGGAGUCAGGAAAAGGGGGAGUGAGAAGAGAGGUACUUCUGCAAGGCAGUGGCUCUGUUCCCUGAGAUAAAAGGCCUUCUGCCAUCUCUCCACAAGUCUUCCAAUCCCUACAAUAGAAGGUCUUCCCCAGUUUGGCCAAGGAAAUUUGGCAAACCCUCCAAGGUUUGGUGAGACAAGGUUGAGUGCUUCCCUGGAUCGUCCCACCACUAGCAUGAUGGACCAUGAGGCUUGCCUGAUGCUGGCCACAACCCCACGUGUGCGUUCAGUGACACAUUGGGCUAUCCCACGCCUUCCCUGAAGUUUGCCCACACCUUCCACCAUGUUGCCGCUUGUCCACUAUGGCGCUGCUUGUCCACUAUGGCGCUGCUUAAUGAUCUCUGGUGCUGAACUCAAAAAGCAUCCCUCCCUCCCUCCCCCUUCCUCUCCCUUUCCUUCUGGCAGCUACCAAACAUACAGUUUGGCUGCUCUGUUGUUUGUCUCCCCAACUCUAAUAAAAUUGUCCCGGAGCUUC
RNAcentral lists this long non-coding RNA (943 nucleotides) under Cricetulus griseus (Chinese hamster). Its description in RNAcentral is "lncRNA (ENSCGRG00015034940.1)". The record is from RNAcentral. Lineage: Eukaryota; Metazoa; Chordata; Mammalia; Rodentia; Cricetidae.